CUUGGGUGCUGGGGACCCUGGGCCGCGCUCCCCCCUGGAGGGACACAGGCAGGGCGGCGGCCGCAGGGCUGGGGGCAUGGGCAGGGGUGGGGCUGCAUCAGGGGAGUUUUGAGUCUGCAGCUUCCUCUAGGACCCGUGGCUGAGGGGGACCAGGCGACAGCAGGGCUUUAUUGGCCUCUUCCUGUGUACGCGGACCCCUGGCCUCGGGCGCGGCUCCAGGGCAGCACUGGACGGGCUGCCCCACGGCACCCGCCAGGAGGGGGCUGGCGCCCAGAUUGGCCCCCCAAGCCCGCCUGGGCUGCUCACCUGCUCGAAGGCCCGGGCCUCUCCUUUCCAACCCUCGUCACUCUUGCACUAACACACUCGCAAGGCACUUACUGACCCCCGCUGCAUCCUGGGGCCCCGCUAGGCCCUGGGGAUCCUCUGCCCCGGUUCUCGGGGCGGGCGGGCCGGGCCGGCGGGGGGCCGACAGCCAACACGGCAGGAAAGCGUGGACGCCGCUCAUAAUGGGGGCUCAGGCCUCAGUCUCCCCGGCGGAGCGCCGCGGAGCCGCCCUGCUCCCCGGCCCGGGAUCGAGGCCUGCUGGCCCCGUGCGUGGGCUUCGCCACGUUCUACCUUCCCAGCAGUUUCAUGGGGGCACGUCCACACACGUGCAAGCCGCCCGUUUAGGGUGUGCAGUGCGGUGGUUUUAGGGCUGUCAGAGGCCUGCAGGCACCACAGUGAGUUUUCACCGCGGGGGCACCUCAGGGACACACACAGUCUGGGGGUUCCUCGGGGAGCUCUGCAGUCGCGCCGCUGAGCAGCCCACGUCUCGGGGACCAGGUGCGCCCAGGGGCCCCGCACCAGGGCCGCGGAUAAACACGCACAUGCGCUGUCCACGCAGCGGGUGGCGGAUGCCCCGACGUCCAUGCGCUCGUGAACAGGUGCACGCGGCGUGUCCGUCCACCCACCCAUCAGACACCCGGCCACCCAAGGGAGCGAGGCGCCCCCACGCCGCCCCGGGGACGACCCCAAGCCCACGACGCUGAGGCCCCAGGGGUGGGACACGUGUGUGACUCGUCCAGGACGAGCUUGUCCCCGCAGGGGGAGGGGGCUGGGGGGGCCGGGGCUGGGGGGCGACAGCUGAAGGGCUCAGUUCCCUGAGAGCGUGAUGGAACGUUCUGUGGUGAUGGUUGCACAACUCCAUGAAAAUAUUAAAAAACCAUUGCCUUGCAUAGUUUAAAACAGCUAAUGUUUUAAAUUUUUUAUUUUAUUAUUUGUUUGGGAGAUGGAGACAGAGAGCUCGAGCGGGGGGAGGAGCAGAGCCCCCGAGGGGCGGGGGCCCGACGCGGGCCUGAUCCCAGGACCCCAGGGGCAGGACCCGACCUGGCCGACCGAGCCCCCCAGACACCCCAGUAGGGUCCGGGUUUGAGCAGCUGCACUCAGGCCGCCUUUCCCGCUCGAAGCUGUCCCUGGCUCCCUCGUGUCGCGGACUCGCGUCCGGGCUCCCCAGCUGCGGCGGGCCACCCUUUCCGCCAGGCCCCCGCGGGAUCAGGACGGUCCCGGACCGGUUCCCACCCCCAGGAAGCAGCCAAGAGCGAUUGCCCCACUUUCUCCCCUCCUCCUGCCUGGAGGGCCGUUUGUGGCCGCCUUGCGACACCAGGAUUCCCAACUGCUGCCCCGGCUCCGGGGGACACCGAGGCCCGGCGAGAGGUGCGGCAGCCAGGUCGCGGCACCUGGGCACCUGUUACGCCCACUUGUGGGUGAGGAAACUGAGGCGAGCCCCCUGGAACUCGCUCGCCACCAUACACACGAUCAUUGUGGAAAACCCACGGAGCUGUGUCUUUUGAAGCAAAAAGGGUCCAAGCCAGGACUCGGACGGGGCCUAAAUGGCUGAGCAGAAAUAAAGACCUGGCGACGACAGUAGGCGCUCAAUUAAUGCAGCCCUCACCCCGCCCCCUCUAAUGAGAGGUGCAACCUCGGGACUGAUAGUUGGGGUCCGUCCCGGUCCCAGGGGCUCCCCAGCCAGUCUUCAGGGUCCAGUAUACAGUAGUGCUUAAGAGAUGGUGAAUUUAAAAAAAAAAAAAAAAGAUGAUGAAUAAAUGAACCAAAUAAAAUCCUGUCCUUUAGGGUCCCUAUAACGUGGAACGGGGCUUUCAGCUUCCUGGG
Molecule: long non-coding RNA, 2148 nt
Filed under: Canis lupus familiaris (dog)
Lineage: Eukaryota; Metazoa; Chordata; Mammalia; Carnivora; Canidae
Description: lncRNA (ENSCAFG00030019713.1)
Source: RNAcentral